Molecule: long non-coding RNA, 1141 nt
Filed under: Oncorhynchus mykiss (rainbow trout)
Lineage: Eukaryota; Metazoa; Chordata; Actinopteri; Salmoniformes; Salmonidae
Description: lncRNA (ENSOMYG00000062737.1)
Source: RNAcentral
CACGUAGCUUAUCAACUCACCAGGCAGCUUAUCAACUCACCAGGUAGCUUAUCAACUCACUACGCAGCUUAUCAACUCAAAAGGUAGCUUAUCACCUCACCAGGUAACUUAUUAACUCACCAGGUAGCUUAUCAACUCACCAGGUAGCUUAUCAACUCACCAGGUAGCUUAUCAACUCACCACGUAGCUUAUCAACUCACCACACAGCUUAUCAACUCACCACGCAUCUUAUCAACUCACCACGUAGCUUAUCAACUCACCACGUAGCUUAUCAACUCAUCACGUAGCUUAUUCUUAAUGUUUGUCCGUAGGCUACCAGGGUGGAUAAAUGUGGUGAGUGAAAAACGUAAUGAAAUUGCCCACUCCCUACCCGGUAACUUAUUCUGCCGCUAUACAACUCUGUAUGCGCUGUUUGUUGGUUUUUGGAACAUAUUCCGGUUGGAACGUUCCACAAAUUAUAACCUACACCUCUGUUCUCCAGUCUCAAUUCAAUGACAGUCUUCUUAAUGACUCAGUUCACCAGUCUCAACCAGUCUCUCUCUUCACCGAUAGCCCUCAGACUCUUCGUGCUCUGGUCGCUAUGGUUACAGUCAGAAUCCAUGGAGUGGGUUGUGGAGAGAGAGACAGAGAGAGAGAGAGAGACAGAGAGAGAGAGACAGAGAGAGAGAGAGAGAGACAGAGAGAGAGAGACAGAGAGAGAGAGAGAGAGAGAGGGAGAGAGAGACAGAGAGGGAGAGAGAGAGAGAGAGGGAGACUGGAUUUGAAGCUUCUGAAAGUACCAAGGGUCUGAGAAGAACAACAGGAAGUGGUCUGAGAAGAACAACAGGAAGUGGUCUGAGAAGAACAACAGGAAGUGGUCUGAGAAGAACAACAGGAAGUGGUCUGAGAAGAACAACAGGAAGUGGUCUGAGAAGAACAACAGGAAGUGGUCUGAGAAGAACAACAGGAAGUGGUCUGAGAAGAACAACAGGAAGUGGUCUGAGAAGCACAACAGGAAGUGGUCUGAGAAGAACAACAGGAAGUGGUCUGAGAAGAACAACAGGAAGUGGUCUGAGAAGAACAACAGGAAGUGGUCUGAGAAGCACAACAGGAAGUGGUCUGAGAAGAACAACAGGAAGUGGUCUGAGAAGAACAACAGGAA